GAAGGUAUAGCUCAAGUGGUAGAGUGCAUGCUUAACAUACACAAGGGCCUGGAUUUAAUCCCCAGUACCUCCU
Molecule: transfer RNA, 73 nt
Filed under: Camelus bactrianus (Bactrian camel)
Lineage: Eukaryota; Metazoa; Chordata; Mammalia; Artiodactyla; Camelidae
Also listed under: 3 other names
Rfam family: tRNA
About the family: Transfer RNA (tRNA) molecules are approximately 80 nucleotides in length. Their secondary structure includes four short double-helical elements and three loops (D, anti-codon, and T loops). Further hydrogen bonds mediate the characteristic L-shaped molecular structure. tRNAs have two regions of fundamental functional importance: the anti-codon, which is responsible for specific mRNA codon recognition, and the 3' end, to which the tRNAs corresponding amino acid is attached (by aminoacyl-tRNA synthetases). tRNAs cope with the degeneracy of the genetic code in two manners: having more than one tRNA (with a specific anti-codon) for a particular amino acid; and 'wobble' base-pairing, i.e. permitting non-standard base-pairing at the 3rd anti-codon position.
Source: Rfam by way of RNAcentral